UUACCUUAGCAUUCAGUGAGGAGCUGGCAAAGUGAAAACACGAACAUGUUGAACAUUAAAGUUGCUGUGGUCCUGAUGGUAUUGCUUACAACAGCCACUUCGUUCAUGUUGAUGAACAGAGCUGGACAUCUAGAGAAACGUGAUGAUUGGUGCCGGGGAAAAUGGCAGGAAUGUGUAUAUACCCAGUUACCCUGUUGCGAUGGAUACUACUGCAGUAAAUAUGCUCAAGUUUGUUUUCCAAACGUAAAAUGAAGUUCCAGAUUUCUAUUGGAAGAUCUUUUGCAUCAAACAAGACCGCAAGCGUCUUCUGUGUGUUGGAUUUAAAUUGAUUUUAUUUCUAGAAUGAUUUAAUGAAAGAGAUAAAGUUUUAAG
Molecule: long non-coding RNA, 372 nt
Organism: Physella acuta
Lineage: Eukaryota; Metazoa; Mollusca; Gastropoda; Physidae
Source: RefSeq, a predicted model, not a curated record